UACAGGGGGUGGCAAACGUUGCUCGGAAUUAUUUGGGCGUAAAGCGCGCGUAGGCGGCUACUUAAGUCGGAUGUGAAAGCCCUUGGCUCAACUAAGGAAGUGCACCCGAAACUGAGUGGCUUGAGUACUAAAGAGGGUCGCGGAAUUCCCGGUGUAGAGGUGAAAUUCGUAGAUAUCGGGAGGAACACCGGUGGCGAAGGCGGGUCUCUGGGCCGAUACUGACGCUGAGGAGCGAAAGCGUGGGGAGCGAACAGG
Molecule: ribosomal RNA, 255 nt
Filed under: uncultured bacterium
Lineage: Bacteria
Description: partial 16S ribosomal RNA
Rfam family: Bacterial small subunit ribosomal RNA
Source: RNAcentral